UACGUAGGGGGCAAGCGUUGUCCGGAUUUAUUGGGCGUAAAGAGCGUGUAGGCGGCCAGGCAGGUCCGUUGUGAAAACUCGAGGCUCAACCUCGAGACGUCGAUGGAAACCAUCUGGCUAGAGUCCGGAAGAGGAGAGUGGAAUUCCUGGUGUAGCGGUGAAAUGCGCAGAUAUCAGGAAGAACACCCGUGGCGAAGGCGGCUCUCUGGGACGGUACUGACGCUGAGACGCGAAAGCGUGGGGAGCGAACAGG
RNAcentral lists this ribosomal RNA (253 nucleotides) under uncultured bacterium. RNAcentral's name for it is "partial 16S ribosomal RNA". It matches the Rfam family "Bacterial small subunit ribosomal RNA", at positions 524 to 776 of the family's 1533-position model. The record is from RNAcentral.